Molecule: long non-coding RNA, 424 nt
Organism: Phymastichus coffea
Lineage: Eukaryota; Metazoa; Arthropoda; Insecta; Hymenoptera; Eulophidae
Exons: 3
Source: RefSeq, a predicted model, not a curated record
CCUUAAUGACACACCACUCGCUCACGAUAGCGGUAUAUAUUGCUGAGGAAAACGAAUUUACUCCGCAGUUGUAAACGGAAUCGUUCAAGCUGAAGAUGGAAAAUCGUACUGCAAUGAAACUUCUAACACUUUACGUCUUGAUUGUCACAGUCGCAAUCUUACUUCCCACCAUUAACGCCUUGCCACAAAUGCUUGGUUCAGAUCCUUGCACAUGGGGCCCGAGCUACUGGUGUAAAUCACAUGAGAACGCGAAGACAUGCAGAGCUGAACAAUGGUGCACGGUUAAUAAAAUGUGGGAUUCAUAAUCUCGCUCAAGAUUUCGAUUUUACGUCACGAAAAGAAUAUGCAAGUCAAUUAAUGUAGUUGUAGAACAUCACUUGCUGGAAAAAAAAAAGAAAUGUUAUAAUAAACAUUUGAGCAUGAA